GCCCCUUUCCUAGCUAGACGAGUAGGCGGACGGGUGAGUAAUGUCUGGGAAACUGCCUGAUGGAGGGGGAUAACUACUGGAAACGGUAGCUAAUACCGCAUAACGUCUACGGACCAAAGUGGGGGACCUUCGGGCCUCAUGCCAUCAGAUGUGCCCAGAUGGGAUUAGCUAGUAGGUGGGGUAACGGCUCACCUAGGCGACGAUCCCUAGCUGGUCUGAGAGGAUGACCAGCCACACUGGAACUGAGACACGGUCCAGACUCCUACGGGAGGCAGCAGUGGGGAAUAUUGCACAAUGGGCGCAAGCCUGAUGCAGCCAUGCCGCGUGUAUGAAGAAGGCCUUCGGGUUGUAAAGUACUUUCAGCGGGGAGGAAGGUGUUGUGGUUAAUAACCACAGCAAUUGACGUUACCCGCAGAAGAAGCACCGGCUAACUCCGUGCCAGCAGCCGCGGUAAUACGGAGGGUGCAAGCGUUAAUCGGAAUUACUGGGCGUAAAGCGCACGCAGGCGGUCUGUUAAGUCAGAUGUGAAAUCCCCGGGCUCAACCUGGGAACUGCAUUUGAAACUGGCAGGCUUGAGUCUCGUAGAGGGGGGUAGAAUUCCAGGUGUAGCGGUGAAAUGCGUAGAGAUCUGGAGGAAUACCGGUGGCGAAGGCGGCCCCCUGGACGAAGACUGACGCUCAGGUGCGAAAGCGUGGGGAGCAAACAGGAUUAGAUACCCUGAUAGUCCACGCCGUAAACGAUGUCGACUUGGAGGUUGUGCCCUUGAGGCGUGCUUCCGGAGCUAACGCGUUAAGUCGACCGCCUGGGGAGUACGGCCGCAAGGUUAAACUCAAUGAAUUGACGGGGGCCCGCACAAGCGGUGGAGCAUGUGUUUAAUUCGAUGCAACGCGAGAUCCUUACCUGGUCUUGACAUCCAGAGAUCCUGCAGAG
This 930-nucleotide ribosomal RNA is filed under the name Ralstonia solanacearum. Its description in RNAcentral is "bacterial SSU rRNA". It matches the Rfam family "Bacterial small subunit ribosomal RNA", at positions 78 to 1005 of the family's 1533-position model. Lineage: Bacteria; Pseudomonadati; Pseudomonadota; Betaproteobacteria; Burkholderiales; Burkholderiaceae. The record is from RNAcentral.